Molecule: transfer RNA, 66 nt
Filed under: Abrothrix andina (Andean akodont)
Lineage: Eukaryota; Metazoa; Chordata; Mammalia; Rodentia; Cricetidae
Description: Abrothrix andinus (Andean akodont) tRNA-Arg
Source: RNAcentral
GGCAGUUAGUUUAUUUAAAACGUUUGAUUUCGACUCAUCCAAACAUGGUACUCUCCAUGAUUACCA